Molecule: long non-coding RNA, 755 nt
Organism: Olea europaea var. sylvestris
Lineage: Eukaryota; Viridiplantae; Streptophyta; Magnoliopsida; Lamiales; Oleaceae
Exons: 4
Source: RefSeq, a predicted model, not a curated record
AAAUAAUUUUCAAAAGAAAAAAAGGUAAAAGAUAAAAGUGCCCUACAAAAUUUCGUUUCCCGCCCUAGCUCCCUUUGUUUCGAUUUUCUCUGCGAGAUUCUAUUUCUUCCCGAUUUUCCAAAAUUUUGGCCAUUCCGCAAAAAGAACUCGAUAAAUUCUGUAUGGAUUUCCAUUUCCGUGGUGAACUAAGUGUAGAAGAUUUGAAGAUCUAGGGUUUGGCUUUCCAGAUCCUAAGGUAUUUCAUGUAAGGAUUUCCAUUUCCGUGGCGAACUGAGAUUUGGAUCAUUGUUUCGUUGCUUUUCUGCUUCAAAGUGUAGAAGAUUUGAAGAUCUAGGGUUUGGCUUCCCAGAUCCUAAGAAUGUUUUGCCCAUGUCAAAUAAAUCAUAGGGAGAGAGCUAGAAUGGAAAAGAGAAAGAAACAAGAGUAGAGAAUUCAAUUCUUGUGGGAGAAGAAUGGUUGAGACAUUGACUACCUUUGAUACUAGCAAAAUAACCCAAGCGUUCUACACCCUCGGCGAUCCCAACUAAAAGCACUAUACGAAUUAAUGACAAGCGAGAUAUUGAAAGCCAAUGGCCCUGUGUGUAAACCUUGUCGUGGAAUCCUUCACUUGUUAUAAUUGUUUAUGAUUGUGGGUAGGAUUUGCGUGUAGUUUAAUGUGAAUGUGUGAAAGUUAUGAAGUUGUGAAUAUUACUGUUGACAAUCAUAUUUUUCGUUAUUUUUAUAUUUUGAUUGUUAAUAUAAUUGUUUUACAACCA